This is a non-coding RNA of Phalacrocorax carbo (great cormorant), 3640 nucleotides long. The record is from RefSeq and is a predicted model, not a curated record. Lineage: Eukaryota; Metazoa; Chordata; Aves; Suliformes; Phalacrocoracidae.
CCUUAAAAAGGCAACAGGACAAAAUUCCUGAGUUACACUCAGGUGUGCAACCAGUACCAACCUGGGGAAUGAAGUUAAUCCACCUGGUGGAGCAGCCUCAAGUGAGAUAAAGCCUCGCUAUUAAUUUACCAUCCUUAAUGCAUAUGAACAACUCACAGCCGGUCUUACACCCUGGUAACACCGAUCCUUCUGUAGUCUGUACUGAUGUGAUACAGAUGCAACCAUUAGCUUUAAAAAAAGCAAACAGUAAAUUAACUUUUUCAGUUUAGUAAUACCAAACGAUUCUGGUGUUGAGAGAGAUGCCUCUUCACGAGGACGACGGGCAAAUAGCGGGAUUUAGCAAUACCUUCAUCUACACAGCGCGACCCAACGACUUCCAAAAAGCAGCCGGAAAACUUCAGGAGAAACUGAACUUCAAGCGGGAGAACUCUCACCGCAAAACUCUGAAGCCUGGAGCGGCCACCCCCGGGAGGCGCCGAGGACAGCGCGGCGGGCUCCCACCCCGCAGGGGCCGGGAAGGAGCCGAACCCCCGAGCGGGGGCGGCGGGGCCGAAGCAGCCCGGCUCGCCGCCUCUCCCGCCCGAGCAGCGCCCAGGAGCCGCGGUUCGACCGGCGGGAAGCCCACCGCGGGGAGGGAGGCGGCAGGAACCGGCUCUCCCUCACGCCGUGCCCGGGCAGCUCCCCGCGCCCCAGCCCGCCCACCACCACUGACCUUGCCUCCCGUCGGGGAAGAGCGAGCCGCCGGCCGGCGGGGCCCUGCCCAGGCAGGGCGCUUGGACGUGGAGGACCAGGAGCCAGAAGGAGAGGUGUGCCACUCGGCUCAGCAGGACACAUGGCAUGGUGCGGGCGGGGAGCGGGGCGCCGCCGACGCCUAGCCGGGCCGCGGCAUGGCCGGGCGGCGGGACAGCGGCGGAACGGCCUCCGGGCGCCGCUCCCCACCAGGGCUGCGCGGGGCCGUCCCGGUGUCUGGUUUCUGCCGGCGGAGGAAGGAGGGCUAUGUGUGGGGAGGGAGCCGCUCCCGGGAGCUCCCGCCUCGGAGCACGCCGGGGUUAGCGCGCCGGAGGCGAACCGGGCCGGGCCAGCGGGGAGGGGAGGAGAGGAGAGGCCGCCGGCGGGGGCUACAGCCCCCGCACCCCGCCCUCCUCAGCGGCAAAGGUGGGGCGUCAGCCCGGCAGCGCCCGCGGCCGUCCCGCGUACGGAGGGCUCCUCGCCCCGGCCCCGGGCGGCGGCUCCCCGCUGAGGGGACGGAGCCCGCCGAGUCUCGCAGCCCCGCAGCCGCCCAGGCAGAGGUUCCCCCCCGGCUUGUGGUGAAAGCCCUCGAAGCACGCGGGUGUUCAACGCCGCGGCGGCCCGGGAUCGCGGCGGCCUCGCCCCGCCUGAGGCCUGUCCCUGCCUGAAGCGCCCGGAGGGAGCCCGAGUCCCCGCAGGGCCCGGCGGCGGUCUCUGCCCCUCGCCCACCAGCAGCAGCCCGGCUUCCAGGUGCGUGCCGAGUACUUUCUGCCAAGGAUCCCCUCACACAGCCUCUGCUCACGUUGCUGCUGGCCGCCACUUCCUAGUUCCCCAAAGGUGAAUGGAUGGCUGUCACAAUUCAGCUGCCAUAACUGUGAGACCUGUCAACCUCCAACUCCAGAGAAUGAAAAUACAGGAUGGAGUUAGGACUCCAGGGAUUUCUAAAUCAGCUAAUGGAAUGAGAUGAUGCAGAAGAGGAUGAAUUUAUGUAAUACUUUAUAUCCAGCAACACUUGACAAGAGAAGAUUUGUCCAAUGCAAGGUGUUCACUGUGCCUGAUGUGAGACAACUAGUAUUUCGUGCAGGAUUCCAUCUUAGUUUCUUCCUCAGCAGGAAAAGUUCAUUCCCAUUGCCUGUAAUUCUCGCCAAACAUGAGAUCUUUUUCUUUCUGCCCUUUCCUGAGACUACAGACUUUCCCAUUCUGGAUUAACUCUCUCAACCUGUUACCCCUGCCUCUUUUCUUCCCUGUUAUCUCUUUUCCAGACAACAUCCCAUGACAGAAAGAAAAAAAAUCAGGAAAUGAUGAAGAAAUGAAAGCUUUAGGAACUCAAGAGGGUUUGUGGGAAUGUGGGUGUUUUGUUUUGAUUUGAUUUUUUUUUAAUGACCAAAAAUUGUAGAUGCAAAAGUCAUACAGAAUGGAGAAAGAGAAGUGUGGGAAUCUGAUCUGAAACAUCUAUAAUUUCCUGGGCUUUGUGCCAGCGUGCACAUACACAGAAGAAAUGAUUCACUGGCUGUAGUGUCAGAAAAUACCCUGGGGGACAGUAGGGUUCCUGCUUAAGGGAUGCUGUGGCUGUAGCUGACACAGUCACAUAGAGUUGAAAUGUGAAGCGAUGGCACAAGUAGAAAGCACUGCUGUGAGGAUAUACUAAGGCCAGCUCUUUAAAUGAAUAGAAUUUACAACUCUCUGUCUUCUCAGUACAGACCUGAUUUAGGAAAGCAUUUGUGGUCUAUUAAAAUAAGAUGCCUAUAUGUUAAACCAUUUGGUGACUCACAGAGAACUGUAAAAAUCUAAUGAUAAGGAACUAAUUAAUGUUUUGUGUUCCAAAAGAGACAUAACCUGAGGUUUUGGAGACUUUUGUGAAUGUAAGGGCAUUUUUUUUAUGAUGUCAGUUAUAAAAAGAAAAUUAAUACAAUUCCACAUCAGUUGUGUUCUUGUGACAGCAAAGGUAUUGCAGUUCAGUAACUGCAGCUGAACACAGAAAAGCCUGUAGAGUUAUUGAAAGGAAGACAGAAGAAACAGUCUACGUGAUCAAAAGACACAGUCAAGCCUGAACUGCCAAUCCAGGCACAAUCAAUAUCUGAGCUAUUCUAAAUUUAAGUAGAUCUCCAGGCCAGAAGUAACAAAAAAAAAAAAAAGUGUAGAUAGGAAUUUAUAGGCUUGUGGAAAUGUGCACAGAGAGACAGAAAUGCAAAAGUUAUGAGCAGUGAGGAACUGCAACAUAAAUUAUAUGAUGUGAUGUUGAGGAGUUGCUACAAAAUGAAGCCCAGCUGAAGACAGUCAGGAAAUCUUGCUUCACAGGGAAUGAGAUUCCCCUGCCCAAAGUUUAAAGACCUAAAAGGCAUUUAAUCCAUGCUUGUUUGUCUUCUCCUCCAGUCAGUAGGGAGAGAAGACAUCUCUGGAGGACAGCACAUACCUCUCUGUCAUACACAAAGUUGUGCUGGUUUUGGCUCCGGUAGAGUUAAUUUUCUCCAUAGUAGCCCGUAUGGGGUGGUGUUUUGGAUUUGUGCUGGAAACAGUGUGGAUAGUACAGGGAUGUUUUAUUUAUAGCUGAGCAGGGCUUACAUAGAGUCAAGGCCUUUUCUGCCUCUCACCCCACCCCACCAGAAGUGGGCUGGGGGUGCACAAGGAGCUGGGAGGGGGCACAGCCGGGACAGCUGACCCCAGCUGACCAAAGCAAUGUUCCAUACCAUAUGGCAUCAAGCUCAGCAUAUAGAGCUGGGGGAAGAAGAAGGAAGGGGGGCAUGUUUGGAGUGAUGGUGUUUGUCUUCCCAAGUACAUGUGAUGGAGCCCUGCUUUCCUGGAGAUGGCUGAAUACCUGCCUGCCCAUGGGAAGGAGUGAAUGAAUUCCUUGUGUUGCUUUGCUUGUGCACGUGCAGCUUUUGCUUUACCCAUUAAACUGUCUUUAUUUCAA